GUGCAGCAGGCGCGAAACCUCUGCAAUGUGCGAAAGCAUGACAGGGGCAUUCCAAGUGCUCUUGUUUUACAAGAGCUUUUCUCCGGUCCAAGACGCCGGAGGAAUAAGGGCUGGGUAAGACCGGUGCCAGCCGCCGCGGUAACACCGGCAGCUCGAGUGGUGGCCGCUAUUAUUGGGCCUAAAAGCGUUCGUAGCCGGGCAGGCAAGUGUUCUGGUAAAAUCCCAUAACUUAAUUAUGGGGCUUCAGAAUAUACUACCUGCCUUGAGACCGGGAGAGGCUGGAGGUACUUUCGGGGU
Molecule: ribosomal RNA, 297 nt
Filed under: uncultured microorganism
Description: partial 16S ribosomal RNA
Rfam family: Archaeal small subunit ribosomal RNA
Source: RNAcentral